This 202-nucleotide small nucleolar RNA is filed under the name Accipiter nisus (Eurasian sparrowhawk). RNAcentral's name for it is "Small nucleolar RNA U3 (ENSANIG00000013482.1)". It matches the Rfam family "Small nucleolar RNA U3". From Rfam's summary of the family: Small nucleolar RNAs (snoRNAs) are involved in the processing and modification of rRNA in the nucleolus. The record is from Rfam by way of RNAcentral. Lineage: Eukaryota; Metazoa; Chordata; Aves; Accipitriformes; Accipitridae.
AGGACUAUACUUUCAAGGGUCAUUUCUGUAGUUGGUCACUAGAAGAGAGUGAUCGCACCUGUACGGCAUCACAAGCCACGAGGAGGAGCGGGGUGCUCUCCCCUGAGCGUGAAGCUGGCCAGCAGUGCUGCCUGGGCAGGAGCCAUUGACCCUUCCCGCCCCUCUGGGGGCCAGGAGGGAGAAAGAGCACGGGCUGAGCAGU